UACGGAGGGGGCAAGCGUUGUCCGGACUUACUGGGCGUAAAGGGUGCGUAGGCGGCCUGCUGCGUCGGUGCUGAAAGCGCCCGGCUUAACCGGGCGAGGCGUGCCGAUACGAGCGGGCUGGAGCCUUGGCGAGGGUGGCGGAACUCCUGGUGUAGUGGUGAAAUGCGUAGAGAUCAGGAAGAACAUCCGUGGCGCAAGCGGCCACCUGGCCAAGAGCUGACGCUGAGGCACGAGAGCGUGGGGAGCGAACCGG
This 253-nucleotide ribosomal RNA is filed under the name uncultured bacterium. Its description in RNAcentral is "partial 16S ribosomal RNA". It matches the Rfam family "Bacterial small subunit ribosomal RNA", at positions 524 to 776 of the family's 1533-position model. The record is from RNAcentral.